AUGACGAGGAAAUCGCUGCUGUUCCUGCAGCUGGGGCUGCUGGUGGCGGCGUCGCUGCCGCCGGUGUCGAAGCAGAUGGAGGUGUCGCUGAAGAAGUGGCUGGCCGACAACCAGCUGCUCUACACCACCCCGGACGCGGAGGACACGGCGAUGGACGCCGGCGUCGUCGCCGCCAGCAAGGCCCAGGUCCACGUGGGCGUCGACCCCGCCGGCAGCGGCAGCGGCGGAGGCAAGCGCCGCACCAUCGCCGCCGCGCUCGCCGGCGUCCCAGACAGCGGCGGCGGCGAGCCCAAGAGCUACGAGCUGAGCCUGAAGCCGGGGCAGGUGUUCCGCGAGAAGGUGGUGGUCGGCAAGGGCAAGGCGUACGUCACCCUCAAGUCCGACCCGGCCAACCCCGCCGUCAUCGUGUGGAACGACACCGCCGCCACCCUCGGCAAGGACGGCGAGCCCCUCGGCCACGAACAAAAGCAUCCUUCUUCAAAUGCACGAUCGAGGCCGGCGGGCAAGGCGCGGUAUACGUACGACGACGACGGGCAGCACUACUUCAAGGAGUGCACCAUCAACGGCGGCGCCGACGUCAUCUUCGGUUUCGGGAGGUCUUUCUACGAAGAUUGCCGCAUCAUCUCCAAGAAAGACCCUGCCACCGUCGUGUACUCCACGACGCAGGCGCAGGCGCAGAGGGCGCCCAAGUAUGUCGGGCUCGACGGGACCACCAACCCCGCUUUCCUCGGCUUCUCGUUCCACAACUGCACCAUCGAGGCCGGCGCCGGCGACUCGGGCGGCGCCGACGACAAGGUCUACCUCGGCAGGGCAUGGGAGGACUCGUCGUUCGUCGCCUACACCUAUAGCAAGAUCGCCAAUGAGAUCGUGCCUAUUGGCUACGACGACCACGGGAACAUCCAAAAGCCACCGCAAGGGUAUGUGCUAAUUUACAAUUCUAGAAUUCUUAUUACUCCCUUUGUUUUAGAUUAUCAACUUAAGACAAAUAUAUUAUGCAAAUAUACUCAAUUAUUUAUUUAAUGAAACUAAU
This 1030-nucleotide long non-coding RNA is filed under the name Oryza sativa Indica Group (long-grained rice). RNAcentral's name for it is "lncRNA OsZS97_11G022470". Lineage: Eukaryota; Viridiplantae; Streptophyta; Magnoliopsida; Poales; Poaceae. The record is from RNAcentral.